GAAAUAUGAUAAUCAAAAUAAAGCUUCUAACUUUAAUUUUUAGCAGUGAAAUUCUGUUUAUAUUUCU
This 67-nucleotide transfer RNA is filed under the name Hydrophilidae sp. BMNH 1274338. RNAcentral describes it as "tRNA-Ser". The record is from RNAcentral. Lineage: Eukaryota; Metazoa; Arthropoda; Insecta; Coleoptera; Hydrophilidae.